GGCAGUAUAUAAAGGUGCCCUCUGUAGGCGACCAUGUCGUCGAUCACCGACCAGGGAGCGGCGCGUGUACCCGCGCGGACCUCGUCGUGGAUGGCGACCAGGGCCGGAUCCGUGGCCUGGGCGUGUCGAAGGCGUGUGAUGAAGUCGAAGCGGGGCGCCGAGAUCGCCAGCAGGGCGCCGUCGUCGUCGUCGCGGCGGGAGAGCGUCGGCCACCGUGUUCGACGCGCCCGACCGGUACUCGACGGAGAAAUCGAACCCCAGCAGUUUGUCGACCCAAUGGUGUUGGGGUAUCGUGGCCAGGCGCUAGUCGAAGAGGUAUUUGAGGCUGUAGUGGUCCGUCUUGACGAUGAAGCGACGACCCCACAAGUAUGGCCGCCAGUGCUGAACAGCCUGGACGAGACCGAUGAGUUCUCACUCAUAGGCUGCAAGGGCGCGGUGACGGGGUGCGACGGGUCGGCUGAAGAAGGCGACCGGGUGGCCGUCCUGGCCGAGCACCGCGCCGAACCCGUGCGACGACGCGUCGCACUCGACGACGAAGGCCUUGGCGAAGUCCGGCAUGGCGAGGACCGGGGCGGUGGUGACCGCGAUCUUGAGCGCCGCGAACGCCGCGGCUGCCGCGUCGUCCCAGGCGAAGCUGUCCUUGAGGAGGGCUGUCAGCAGUGCGGCAACGGUGCCGUAGUUGUGGACGAACUUGCGGUAGUACCCCGCCAAGCCGAGGAAGCCACGGACCGCACGGACCGAGCGCGGCGCCGGCCAAUCGACGAUGGCCUGCACCUUGGCCGGAUCCAUGGCCACACCGGCCUCGGAGAUGACGUGCCCGAGGUAGGAGACAAACGGGACGCCGAAAGCGCACUUGUUGCGCUUUACAAAGAGCUGGUGCCGCCUCAGCUCGGAGAAGACGGCGCGGAGAUGGCGAAGAUGAUCCGCCCAAGUCUUGCUAUAUAUCAAAAUGUCGUCAAAAAACACAAGAACGAAACGACGGAGGAAGGGGCGAAGUACAUCGUUCAUGAGAGCCUGGAAUGUCGCCGGAGCGUUGCAGAGCCCGAACGCCAUCACCAGGAACUCGUAGAGGCCGUCGUGGGUGCGGAACGCGGUCUUGUGAACGUCCUCCGUCCGCAUGCGCACCUGGUGGUAUCCGGAACGUAGGUCCAGCUUGGUGAAGAACCGUGCCCCAUGGAGCUCAUCGAGAAGCUCGUCGACCACCGGCUGCGCGCCCGUCUUGAGGGUGAUGCGAUGGUCGUGUGCGCGCUUGGGGGGCAGCCCCGAGGGCUCAGCGAAGACGUCCCCAAAAGAGUCCAGGAGUUCCACCAGGAGGGAGUCACUGGCUGUCACCGUCCCGAGGCUCAGUUCUCCAGUGCUCGGCCCGCCCGCCCAGCACACUGUGCGCCCGUGUCGUUGGAAGGUCAUGGUCUGGGCGCCAAAAUCCCAGAGCACCGGCCCCAGCGCCGCCAGCCAUUGGGUACCGAGCACCAGAUCGUAUCCGGCCAGCGGCAUCACGAAGAGGUUGGCGCAGAACGUGUCGUCGCCGAUGACGACGGGGCGUGCCGAAGAACGCCCGGGCACGUGACGCGCUCACCGUUCGCCACCGUCGUGGUGAGCCAUGGACGCCGCUGCAUGGGUAGGCCGGAACGAAGAGCCGCUUCCUCGGCGAUGAAGUUAUGUGUGGAGCCUGAGUCGAGGAGCACGGUGAAGACGGCGGCGCCCACGGACACCCUGAUCUGCAUGGUGUCGCGGACGGAGACGCCGGCGAUCGUGUGGAGGGAGAUGUGCGGGGACUCGUUGGUGGCGAUCUCCUCAUCAGCAACGUCGUCUUCCGGGUCGUCCUCGAUGGCGCUAUCGAGGAGAAAUAGCCGCUUGCAGACCCUGUUGUGGCCGCGGCCGAAUUUCUCAUCAUAGUUAUAGCAGAGGCCCAGGCGGCGCCUCUCCUCCUGUUCCGCCUGAGUCAAUCUGCGAACUGGCCGGCCCUCCACCGUGACCGUGGCAGGCGCAUGCUUGGGCGCCGUAUCCGUUGCGGGUGCCGGCAGGGCUAGACGCGGUGCCGGUGUUGGCAAGAGUGGCCGGUCGCGCUGGGGCGCGCGUGGGGCCGGCGCGGCGUAGCUGUUGCGUAGCUCAAUCCGGCGAGCGAGGCUCAUGGCCGUCGCCAAUGACUGUGGGUUGUGUAUCUCCACAUCAUGGCUGAGCGGCGGAAGUAGUCCGGCGGUGAACAGCUUGACGCGCUGUGCCUCGUCCAGACGGCCGGCACGGGGAAGAAGUGCUUGGAACCUUUCCUGGUACUCCGCCACAGACCCGGUGCGGUGGCAUGCCGCCAACUCGCCGAGCGGAUUGGAUCUGAGCGGCGGCCCAUAGCGCAGCUGGAGAAGGUCCUUGAAGCGGCGCCACGAGGGAGUGCCCUUGUCUUACUGAACUUGAUAGUACCAGAGUUGGGCGCCCUCCUCGAGGUUGUACGACGCCAUCCAGACCUUCUCUUCCUCCAUGAUCUGUUGCUGGUGAAAGUAGGAUUCACAGCGGUUGAUGAAGAUCAGCGGAUCGGACUUGCCGUCAUAGCAUGGGAAGUUGAGUUUUUGGAGACGCGGCGGUCGAUCCUGAUGAUGUUCGCUUGUCCCGGAGGAGAACGACGAGCCGCCUGGCGGAGCACGUGCGGCUUCCAGGCGCUGGAUGGCCAGGGCGUUGGCCUCCACGGUCGUCUGGAGGAGCUUGAGAGACUCGGCCAGGGAGUCCAGGGUGGCCUGCAAGGCAUCGUUGGCGGCGGCGUCACCUAUGGCGGCGCGGCGAGGUGGGAGUGAUGGGGCACGACAGGAACUAGAUGAAGCGGCGGCUGGCGGUGGUGGCGAGGAGGCGCGGGAAGAGUUGGAUCGCCUAGAUCGUGAUACCAGGUUGUCAAGGACGUGGAAUCCUUGGGUAGCGGGACCCCGACUACGUAGUUCGUAGUCGCGAUCCGUCUUCUCCGGCGAGGUUUUGCCCCUCAGCCGCAGGCUUUGGUUGGAGAUGAGAAAGAGAUUAGGGAUAACAAUCUUGCUUGCCUUUCGAGAGUCUGGUUACAGCAUAUAUAUGGCCGGCGGCCCACAAACCAACUGGAGGAAAUCCCUCCGUAACCCUAGGAACCAAAACU
RNA transcript from Panicum virgatum (switchgrass), 3109 nucleotides. RefSeq lists it as uncharacterized. The transcript has 2 exons. The record is from RefSeq and is a predicted model, not a curated record. Lineage: Eukaryota; Viridiplantae; Streptophyta; Magnoliopsida; Poales; Poaceae.